This is a long non-coding RNA of Engraulis encrasicolus (European anchovy), 401 nucleotides long. RefSeq lists it as uncharacterized. Lineage: Eukaryota; Metazoa; Chordata; Actinopteri; Clupeiformes; Engraulidae. The record is from RefSeq and is a predicted model, not a curated record. The transcript has 3 exons.
AAGGAAAACCAAGAUUUACAGACCUGGCUGAAGUCUAUAAGCAAUCAUUUAUACUGGUCUUGUAGCUCAAGUCACGGAGAUGGUGAGGAAUGUGUACGCCGCUGGAAAUCACUGCUCCAUCACAUUGUUGGCAUACACCGGUGGGAGGAAGAUGGGGAACAACACACCUGUCAUCAUGCCCCUUUGACAGACGAUGAACAGCGCAGGAAAAGGUGGAUGAAGGUGGAUUCCCCAGCAUACAAGUCAUUGAAAAGUAUUGUCCUGGACAAAAAUCUACUACGUGACUUGAAGCAGAUGGCCUUAUUCAAGCACACCGGGCCCCUGGAGGUCUUUCACUCAUCUAUGCUGAAGUAUACCCAGAAGAGGCUGCACUUCUCCUAUGACGCAAUGCUGGCCAGAAC